Molecule: ribosomal RNA, 207 nt
Filed under: uncultured bacterium
Lineage: Bacteria
Description: partial 16S ribosomal RNA
Rfam family: Bacterial small subunit ribosomal RNA
Source: RNAcentral
CGCGUAGGCGGUACGACAAGUCUGGAGUGAAAGCCCGGGGCUCAACCCCGGAAUGUCUUUGGAAACUGUCGAACUUGAGUGCGGAAGAGGCAUCUGGAAUUCCCAGUGUAGCGGUGAAAUGCGUAGAUAUUGGGAAGAACACCUGAGGCGAAGGCGGGAUGCUGGGCCGACACUGACGCUGAGGCGCGAAAGCCAGGGGAGCGAACG